RNAcentral lists this transfer RNA (67 nucleotides) under Xylophaga dorsalis. RNAcentral describes it as "tRNA-Leu". It matches the Rfam family "tRNA". Rfam says of the family: Transfer RNA (tRNA) molecules are approximately 80 nucleotides in length. Lineage: Eukaryota; Metazoa; Mollusca; Bivalvia; Myida; Xylophagaidae. The record is from RNAcentral.
GUAUGAGUGGCAGAGAUUUAUGCGUUAGAUUUAAAAUCUAGAGACAGAUUUAUUUAUCUCUCAGACA